Molecule: ribosomal RNA, 469 nt
Filed under: uncultured bacterium
Lineage: Bacteria
Description: partial 16S ribosomal RNA
Rfam family: Bacterial small subunit ribosomal RNA
Source: RNAcentral
GACGAACGCUGGCGGCGUGCUUAACACAUGCAAGUCGAACGGAAAGGCCCUGCUUUUGUGGGGUGCUCGAGUGGCGAACGGGUGAGUAACACGUGAGUAACCUGCCCUUGACUUUGGGAUAACUUCAGGAAACUGGGGCUAAUACCGGAUAGGAGCUCCUGCUGCAUGGUGGGGGUUGGAAAGUUUCGGCGGUUGGGGAUGGACUCGCGGCUUAUCAGCUUGUUGGUGGGGUAGUGGCUUACCAAGGCUUUGACGGGUAGCCGGCCUGAGAGGGUGACCGGCCACAUUGGGACUGAGAUACGGCCCAGACUCCUACGGGAGGCAGCAGUGGGGAAUAUUGCACAAGGGGCGGAAGCCUGAUGCAGCAACGCCGCGUGCGGGAUGACGGCCUUCGGGUUGUAAACCGCUUUCGCCUGUGACGAAGCGUGAGUGACGGUAAUGGGUAAAGAAGCACCGGCUAACUACGGGC